Molecule: ribosomal RNA, 492 nt
Filed under: uncultured bacterium
Lineage: Bacteria
Description: partial 16S ribosomal RNA
Rfam family: Bacterial small subunit ribosomal RNA
Source: RNAcentral
AGUGAACGCUGGCGGUAGGCCUAACACAUGCAAGUCGAACGGCAGCACAGUAAGAGCUUGCUCUUACGGGUGGCGAGUGGCGGACGGGUGAGGAAUACAUCGGAAUCUACUUUUUCGUGGGGGAUAACGUAGGGAAAUUUACGCUAAUACCGCAUACGACCUACGGGUGAAAGCAGGGGAUCUUCGGACCUUGCGCGAUUGGAUGAGCCGAUGUCGGAUUAGCUAGUUGGCGGGGUAAAGGCCCACCAAGGCGACGAUCCGUAGCUGGUCUGAGAGGAUGAUCAGCCACACUGGAACUGAGACACGGUCCAGACUCCUACGGGAGGCAGCAGUGGGGAAUAUUGGACAAUGGGCGCAAGCCUGAUCCAGCCAUACCGCGUGGGUGAAGAAGGCCUUCGGGUUGUAAAGCCCUUUUGUUGGGAAAGAAAAGCAGCAGGUUAAUACCCCGCUGUUCUGACGGUACCCAAAGAAUAAGCACCGGCUAACUUCGUG